CAAACACACACUGCUUCUCUUACACACACACACACAGAAACACAAUGCAUCUUACACACACACUCAACGCACCCCUUACAGACACACACACUGCAUCCCUUACAUACAAAGAAACACACUUUGCAUCCCUUAUGCACACAAACACAGAUUCACACAAUGCAUCCCUUACACACAACAAGAAACACACAAUACAUCCCUUAUACACACACACACUGCUUCCACUACACACAAAC
Molecule: non-coding RNA, 233 nt
Organism: Pelobates cultripes (western spadefoot toad)
Lineage: Eukaryota; Metazoa; Chordata; Amphibia; Anura; Pelobatidae
Source: the annotation of a GenBank genome assembly